This 1069-nucleotide ribosomal RNA is filed under the name uncultured bacterium. Its description in RNAcentral is "bacterial SSU rRNA". It matches the Rfam family "Bacterial small subunit ribosomal RNA", at positions 199 to 1288 of the family's 1533-position model. The record is from RNAcentral.
GUGAAAAACUCCGGUGGUAUGAGAUGGACCCGCGUCUGAUUAGGUAGUUGGUGGGGUAACGGCCUACCAAGCCGACGAUCAGUAGCCGACCUGAGAGGGUGACCGGCCACAUUGGGACUGAGACACGGCCCAAACUCCUACGGGAGGCAGCAGUGGGGAAUAUUGCACAAUGGGGGAAACCCUGAUGCAGCGACGCCGCAUGAGCGAUGAAGUAUUUCGGUAUGUAAAGCUCUAUCAGCAGGGAAGAAAAUGACGGUACCUGACUAAGAAGCCCCGGCUAACUACGUGCCAGCAGCCGCGGUAAUACGUAGGGGGCAAGCGUUAUCCGGAUUUACUGGGUGUAAAGGGAGCGUAGACGGCAUGGCAAGCCAGAUGUGAAAGCCCGGGGCUCAACCCCGGGACUGCAUUUGGAACUGUCAGGCUAGAGUGUCGGAGAGGAAAGCGGAAUUCCUAGUGUAGCGGUGAAAUGCGUAGAUAUUAGGAGGAACACCAGUGGCGAAGGCGGCUUUCUGGACGAUGACUGACGUUGAGGCUCGAAAGCGUGGGGAGCAAACAAGAUUAGAUCCCCUGGUAGUCCUCGCCGUAACCGCCCAUAAAUGGGUGUCGGGUGGCAAAGCCAUUCGGUGCCGCAGCAAACGCAAUAAGUAUUCCUCCUGGGGAGUACGUUCGCAAGAAUGAAACUCAAAGGAAUUGACGGGGGCCCGCACAAGCGGUGGAGCGUGUGGUUUAAUUUGAAGCAACGCGAAGAACCUUACCUGGUCUUGACAUCCCUCUGUCCGCUCGUUAAUAGGAGAUUUCCUUCGGGACAGAGGAGACAGGUGGUGCAUGGUUGUCGUCAGCUCGUGUACGUGAGAUGUUGGGUUAAGUCCCGCCACGAGCGCAACCCCUCUCUUUAGUAGCCAGCAUUUUGGAUGGGCACUCUAGAGAGACUGCCAGGGAUAACCUGGAGGAAGGUGGGGAGGACGUCAAAUCAUCAUUCCCCUUAUGUCCAGGGCUACACACGUGCUACAAUGGCGUAAACAAAGGGAAGCGAGCCCGCGAGGGGGGGCAAAUCCCAAAAAUAACGUCU